CUACGGGAUGCACCAGUGAGGAAUAUUGCACAAUGGGGGAAACCCUGAUGCAGCAACGCCGCGUGGAGGAUGACGCAUUUCGGUGUGUAAACUCCUUUUAUCAGAGAAGAAAAUGACGGUAUCUGAUGAAUAAGCUCCGGCUAACUCCGUGCCAGUAGCCGCGGUAAUACGGAGGGAGCAAGCGUUAUUCGGAAUCACUGGGCGUAAAGGACGCGUAGGCGGGUUUUUAAGUCAGGUGUGAAAUCCUAUGGCUCAACCAUAGAACUGCACUUGAAACUGGGGACCUAGAGUAUGGAAGGGGCAGGUGGAAUUAGUGGUGUAGGGGUAAAAUCCGUAGAUAUCACUAGGAAUACCGAAAGCGAAGGCGACCUGCUGGGACAUUACUGACGCUGAGGCGUGAAAGCGUGGGGAGCAAACAGGAUUAGAUACCCGGUAGUC
Molecule: ribosomal RNA, 438 nt
Filed under: uncultured bacterium
Lineage: Bacteria
Description: partial 16S ribosomal RNA
Rfam family: Bacterial small subunit ribosomal RNA
Source: RNAcentral